AGCUCAGUGGUAGAGUGCUUGCCUUGCAUGCAUGAGGCUCUGGGUUCAAUUCCCCAG
RNAcentral lists this transfer RNA (57 nucleotides) under Dipodomys ordii (Ord's kangaroo rat). It matches the Rfam family "tRNA", at positions 9 to 63 of the family's 71-position model. Rfam says of the family: Transfer RNA (tRNA) molecules are approximately 80 nucleotides in length. Lineage: Eukaryota; Metazoa; Chordata; Mammalia; Rodentia; Heteromyidae. The record is from Rfam by way of RNAcentral.